GAAGUUGGCUGGGCAGUCGCUGUUUUUAUUGACAGAGGAAAGUCCGGGCUCCACGGGCAGGAUGCCAGGUAAUACCUGGGAGGCGCGAGUCUACGGAAAGUGCAACAGAGAAUAAACUGCCAGUAAUAUUACUGGUAAAGGUGAAAAGGUGUGGUAAGAGCACACCGCACAAUUGGUAACAUUUGUGGCUAGGCAAACCCCAUCCGGAGCAAGACCAAAUAGGGGAGCGUUUUAAAUGAAGCCCACAUAAAGCUCCCGGGUAGGUUGCUAGAGAGGAGUGGCGACACUCUUCCCAGAUGAAUGACUGCACAAGACAGAACCCGGCUUAUAGGCCAACUUCUACC
RNAcentral lists this RNase P RNA (344 nucleotides) under Gammaproteobacteria bacterium. RNAcentral's name for it is "RNase P RNA component class A". It matches the Rfam family "Bacterial RNase P class A". From Rfam's summary of the family: Ribonuclease P (RNase P) is a ubiquitous endoribonuclease, found in archaea, bacteria and eukarya as well as chloroplasts and mitochondria. Its best characterised activity is the generation of mature 5'-ends of tRNAs by cleaving the 5'-leader elements of precursor-tRNAs. RNAcentral also lists the same sequence under 1 other name. Lineage: Bacteria; Pseudomonadati; Pseudomonadota; Gammaproteobacteria. The record is from RNAcentral.